UACGUAGGGGGCUAGCGUUGUCCGGAAUCAUUGGGCGUAAAGAGCGUGUAGGCGGCCCGGUAAGUCCGCUGUGAAAGUCGGGGGGCUCAACCCUCGAAUGCCGGUGGAUACUGUCGGGCUAGAGUACGGAAGAGGCGAGUGGAAUUCCUGGUGUAGCGGUGAAAUGCGCAGAUAUCAGGAGGAACACCCAUUGCGAAGGCAGCUCGCUGGGACGUUACUGACGCUGAGACGCGAAAGCGUGGGGAGCAAACAGG
RNAcentral lists this ribosomal RNA (254 nucleotides) under uncultured bacterium. RNAcentral's name for it is "partial 16S ribosomal RNA". It matches the Rfam family "Bacterial small subunit ribosomal RNA", at positions 524 to 776 of the family's 1533-position model. The record is from RNAcentral.